This 490-nucleotide ribosomal RNA is filed under the name uncultured bacterium. Its description in RNAcentral is "partial 16S ribosomal RNA". It matches the Rfam family "Bacterial small subunit ribosomal RNA", at positions 30 to 507 of the family's 1533-position model. The record is from RNAcentral.
AGUGAACGCUGGCGGCAUGCCUAACACAUGCAAGUCGAACGGAAACGCAGGAGCGCUUGCCGUCGGGCGGGCGACGGGCGGGUGAGUGAGGCGUACAUCCCCAUCCGUCGAGUCUGGGGGGACUACGGGGGGACACUUACGCUAACACAUCGUAGGACCUGCGGGUGGGAGAGGGGGGUCGCGAGACGGCGGGCGGGUGUAUGCGCGGGUGUCGGAUUAGAUAGUUGGCGGGGUAAUCGCCCACCGAGGUGAAGAUGUGUAGCGGGUCUGAGAGUAUGAUCAGCGACACUGGAACUGAGACACGGACCAGACUCCUACGGGAGGCAGCAGUGGGGAAUAUUGGACAAUGGGCGCAAGCCUGAUCCAGCCAUGCCGCGUGGGGGAAGAAGGCCUUCGGGUUGUAAAGCCCUUUUUUUGGGAAAGAAACGCUUUCGCCUAAUACCCGGGGAGGAUGACGGUACCGAAAGAAUAAGCACCGGCUAACUACGUG